RNAcentral lists this unclassified non-coding RNA (375 nucleotides) under soil metagenome. RNAcentral's name for it is "partial contains 5.8S ribosomal RNA, internal transcribed spacer 2, and large subunit ribosomal RNA". The stretch from base 1 to 120 matches the Rfam family "5.8S ribosomal RNA", at positions 35 to 154 of the family's 154-position model. The record is from RNAcentral.
GAUGAAGAACGCAGCGAAGUGCGAUAAGUAGUGUGAAUUGCAGAAUUCCGUGGAUCAUCGAAUUUUUGAACGCAAAUUGCACUCUCUGGUAUUCCGGAGAGUAUGCCUGUUUGAGGGUCAGUAAAAUAAAAAAUCGAUUUGUUACCUUGUCGUGACAUUUUCGGAAUUGGGCCAUCUUAAAUUUUUAGGUUUAAGAGGCUUAAAAUUGACCACUUUUUGGUAUGAUUUAAGCGUUGCUAAAAUUACGUUUAAUGAGUAUCGAUGUUUAUUAGGCAUGACCAUGAUCAUGGUUUCGUGCCCAUAAUUUUUAUCAUGAAAUGACCUCAAAUCAGGUAGGAUUACCCGCUGAACUUAAGCAUAUCAAUAAGCGGAGGA